This 66-nucleotide transfer RNA is filed under the name Rhyacophila quadrifida. RNAcentral describes it as "tRNA-Tyr". The record is from RNAcentral. Lineage: Eukaryota; Metazoa; Arthropoda; Insecta; Trichoptera; Rhyacophilidae.
AGUAAGAUGACUGAUAAUAGGUGAUAGAUUGUAGAUUUAUUUAUAAAAUUAAUAUUUUUUUUACUA